AUUGAACGCUGGCGGCAUGCCUUACACAUGCAAGUCGAACGGCAGCACGGGAGCAAUCCUGGUGGCGAGUGGCGAACGGGUGAGUAAUACAUCGGAACGUGCCCGAUCGUGGGGGAUAACGCAGCGAAAGCUGUGCUAAUACCGCAUACGAUCUACGGAUGAAAGCGGGGGAUCGCAAGACCUCGCGCGGACGGAGCGGCCGAUGGCAGAUUAGGUAGUUGGUGGGGUAAAGGCUCACCAAGCCUGCGAUCUGUAGCUGGUCUGAGAGGACGACCAGCCACACUGGGACUGAGACACGGCCCAGACUCCUACGGGAGGCAGCAGUGGGGAAUUUUGGACAAUGGGCGAAAGCCUGAUCCAGCCAUGCCGCGUGCAGGAUGAAGGCCUUCGGGUUGUAAACUGCUUUUGUACGGAACGAAAAGUCUCCUUCUAAUAAAGGGGGAUCAUGACGGUACCGUAAGAAUAAGCACCGGCUAACUACGUGCCAGCAGCCGCCGUAA
This 500-nucleotide ribosomal RNA is filed under the name uncultured bacterium. Its description in RNAcentral is "partial 16S ribosomal RNA". It matches the Rfam family "Bacterial small subunit ribosomal RNA", at positions 29 to 523 of the family's 1533-position model. The record is from RNAcentral.